This 256-nucleotide ribosomal RNA is filed under the name uncultured Gardnerella sp. Its description in RNAcentral is "partial 16S ribosomal RNA". It matches the Rfam family "Bacterial small subunit ribosomal RNA", at positions 99 to 355 of the family's 1533-position model. The record is from RNAcentral. Lineage: Bacteria; Bacillati; Actinomycetota; Actinomycetes; Bifidobacteriales; Bifidobacteriaceae.
CGAACGGGUGAGUAAUGCGUGACCAACCUGCCCCAUGCUCCAGAAUAGCUCUUGGAAACGGGUGGUAAUGCUGGAUGCUCCAACUUGACGCAUGUCUUGUUGGGAAAGUGUUUAGUGGCAUGGGAUGGGGUCGCGUCCUAUCAGCUUGUAGGCGGGGUAAUGGCCCACCUAGGCUUCGACGGGUAGCCGGCCUGAGAGGGCGGACGGCCACAUUGGGACUGAGAUACGGCCCAGACUCCUACGGGAGGCAGCAGCA